Monodelphis domestica (gray short-tailed opossum) is the source of this 383-nucleotide non-coding RNA. Lineage: Eukaryota; Metazoa; Chordata; Mammalia; Didelphimorphia; Didelphidae. The record is from RefSeq and is a predicted model, not a curated record.
GUGAGGGAUAGCAGAGACAGGCACAAAGAGAUUGAGAAAAGACUAACAGGAAAAGAAACUAUACAACAGAGGAGACAAAGACAUCCAAUGCCAGAGACUUGAGAUUCUGCCCCCACCAAGAGGGCAAGGUUGGGGCUGUACUCCUGGAACUUGAUGGUGAAUCGGAGAUCAACGUCAGGUCUGUCACAGGUCAGGAGCAGGUUAGGAGAGGGAGGGGCCUCACAGCGCCGGCCCUGGGCUCCUCCAACCAGGUCGGGAUGUAGAGAAGAUCCGUACAGUUCUAUUGAAGCCACAAAAGAGCUUUGAGCCAUCAGGGGAGAAACAAAGAGAAUGGGCUGCAGUCAACUCAUCCUGAGGUAGAGAUGGGAGAGAAAGAAAGAUGG